RNAcentral lists this unclassified non-coding RNA (5394 nucleotides) under Haliotis rufescens (red abalone). RNAcentral describes it as "two pore channel protein 2-like, transcript variant X1". Lineage: Eukaryota; Metazoa; Mollusca; Gastropoda; Lepetellida; Haliotidae. The record is from RNAcentral.
AAAACCGGAUGUUGAUAUUAAAGGGGAGAGGGUGGACAACCGAGUCAUGCCUUGUGGUGUCAGCUCUUGACAGGGUGAAUAAAUGGAUAUUCAUCAAAUCAAACCACUUGAAGGUGAUGAACAUGUUAACCUCAGUCUCAACUCAGGUGACUUUGGGGUAGGAGAUGCAUCGAGGACGACCCCCUCUCCUGUGGUGGAACCGCUGCAGGGGAGUAGGGGCGGAGACUCGCCGUCUGAGUCGGUGAGGGGGACAACUUGGUACAUCGCACCCAGUCUCACAGAGGUGGACACCGCUGCCAACGAAGUACAUGAUCAGUUUGCAGGGUUAGACCUGGUUACUAUUUUACAAGCUGUAGUGUUUAUUGAAGAUGCUUACAAGUACCGGUCAAUAUGCCACAAGUUGGAAAUUCCUGUUCUCCACCUGUACAGAAGCUAUCUCUCCACACCUGUCAAGAUAUUCCGCUAUGUUGUGAUAUUUAUACUCCACAUUCUGGUGAUAUUUGAAUACCCAUCCUCUCUCACUCUCACCUCUGAUAUACGCUUCCGAGCCAGUCGCCUCAUUGUGCCCUGCUGGCUGACGGAGGGCAUCGAGAUCUUGUGCCUCCUGCUCUUGCUGGCAGACACAGUCAUCAGGGGCUAUGUGAUGGGCAAGCACUACUUCUGGAGACACAAGUGGCUGGUGGCUGGCUCCAUCAUCAUCGCUGUGUCCCUGCUGGACUGGUCCGUGUCAGUCGGUCUAGGAUGUCAGGAGUACAUCCGGUUCCGGAGAAUACUGCGACCCUUCUUCAUACUACAGAACUCCACCAUCAUGAAGAAAACCGUCAACUGUCUGAGAAGAACUCUGCCGGAAGUGGCCAGUGUGCUGGCUCUGCUUGGUCUCCACAUCUAUCUCUUCACGCUGUUCGGAAUGCUGCUCUUUCCUAAGAUCCAGACCUCUGCAAACAAUGGCACCACAAAUGUAUCCGGUGAUGAGCAGAAUUCUUCCAUCAUCACAACCAGUCAAACACAAGAGUCGAUGUAUUUCCGCACCCUGCUGGACUCCUUCAUGAGUUUGCUGGUGCUGCUGACUACUGCCAACAACCCAGACGUGACGAUGCCUGCCUACCAGACCAACCGACUGUAUGCGCUGUUCUUCAUCCUGUUCCUCGUCAUAGGCCUCUACUGCUUCAUGAACAUGUUGACAGCUGUGAUCUACAACCAGUUCCGGGGCUACUUCCUGAAUUCCAUGCAAGCAAGUUUUUUUCGGCGACGUCUUGGUGUGAGAGCUGCAUUUGAAGUCUUGAGACGGCGUAAACUGAGUUUCCGGCACAAUUCCUGUCUCCCAUCUGUAAGCACGGAGGUGGGGGCACCCGUUGUGAAAGCUGUCGUGCAGAGAGCCUUUCUGUCCAAGCCUGUCAAGCAUGCUCUCCUGCAGGAACUGAUGCAGGAUCCCCAGGGGUCGUACUCUGCCACUGAAUUCCAGACACUGUUUGAGGAGCUGGAGAGAGAACAUGCAAAGAAUCAGAGGCCGGACGUGCGGUGGUUUGAAAAUCCAAUAUUGAGAAGGAUACAGAGGGUGUUCGUCCACAAUUACUUCUCCUACUUCGGUAGUUUCAUCGCCGUCGCUAACGUCAUUGUCAUCUCUGUGCAGCUUGAUACUCGCUACGACGAGUCAAUCAGUUCCAGUAAUUCUUUGUUGAGGGUGACCAACUUCACGUUUGUCAUCUACUACUUUGUGGAACAGACACUCAAAGUGUGGGCCAUGGGUCCGCGGCGCUACAUCUGGUACUACACCAACAUCUUUGAUGCUCUCAUCACCAUGGCAUUAGUGGUAGGAGAGAUAUUCACAGCAGUCCAGUAUGGAAUCCCCUACUCUUCAAGCCACACACAUGCCACCACCUCCAAGUUGUGGAACGUCGUGCGCUUCAUCAACAUCCUCAUCAUGGUCAGGCUCUUCCGCAUCAUCCCCCACAUCAAGGCCACCUCUGUGAUAGCAAGCACCCUCAUUGACCUGGUGAAGAACCUGAAAGCCUUUGCAGGUAUCCUUGUGGUGAUCUACUACUCCUUCGCUAUAGUGGGGAUGGAGCUGUUCCAUGACGUCAUCAAGUACCAGGCACCGAUCUCCAAGAAUGAAACCAACAGCUCCAGCUUCCAGUGUGGCUCCUACCAGCAGCUGGAGUACUGGGCCAACAACUUCGAUGACUUUGCUGCAUCUGUGGUGGUGUUGUGGGACAUCAUGGUGGUGAAUAACUGGAUGGUCUUCCUUGCUGCCUUCAGACAGGCAACAUCUCCGUGGGCGUACCUGUUCUUUAUAGCCUGGUGGCUGCUGACCGUUGUCAUCGUUCUCAAUCUGUUCACGGCUCUCAUCCUGGAGAACUUCAUCAUGAAAUGGGACAAGAUCCUGCACACCUCCCGUGAUCGCUCUGAAUCCGGACAAGUUGAAGAGGCCAAUCAUCUCAUGUCUGUACAUGAAAUGUUCCGAGGUUUGCUGCAAGAACCAGCUGAGAAUGAGCUCCUGGUGGAGUUGACCUCUCACAGAUAUCUCCAGCUGGACAGAUGACAAUCAGCAGGUGAUGGUUCUACAGGCACGACGGCAGUGUCACCAACGCCCAGACCAUCACCGCAACGUCAUCCGUCGGAAUCACGCCCCAUCUGACAAUGAGUGGACGACAGUGGACACCCAUGCAGAUGGCAAAGGGAUAUCUGUCUUAUUUUAUUCAGAAACAAAUAGGAAAUUCUGUAACGUGCAAUACUUACUAUUUUAGUGAUAUACAUGUGUUUAAUACACCUGCAUUGUCUUAUACUAUGUUUUUUUAAUUCAUAAUGUAAAACAUUUUAUGUUGCCUAUGUAUUUUAUUCCCUUUUAUUCUACUUUCUGUCAUAAUGUGUUUUUCCUUGAUUUUAGCCUCUGGCACAAUUUCUUCCAACUGUGUCAGUUUAUGUGUGAAUUACAGUAAAUAUUUAAGACAUGUGAAAAUUAUUAAUGAGCAAAAAAUGUAUUAUCCUUAGAAUUUAAUCUUUUUAAAUUUGUUUCAGUAUGAAAUGUAUUUCUAUGUCAAGCUGAGCUGUCAGUGUCCUAAAGGUAUCAGUACUUGGGUGUGAGUCCCCUGACAACAGAGCUGAAUCAUGAAAUGUGAAGCACUUGUAACUUAUGUGUCAUAUGGGGAGUGGGUUGCAUGUUUGUGUUUCUGGCUUGAAGGGAAGCCUGAUAACACAGGCUAUUGUUUCAGUUGUUCCACAUUUAUGUACAAAAUAAGACGGGUUAUGUGUCAGUUCACCUUAACUUCAGGGUCAUGUGAACAUCAGGUGACACAGUGUUGAACUUAACACUGACCCUGUCCCUGAGAUUGACCCUGACCCGACAUUGACAAUAACCCUAACCCUAACCCUGACACUGACAUUGACCCUGACCCUGACAUUGACCCUGACCCUGACCCUGACCCUGACACUGACCCUAACCCUAACCCUGACACUGACAUUGACCCUAACCCUGACAUUGACCCUGACCCUGACCCUGACCCUGUCUUGAGGCUUGAGUCAUUCUCUUUUAUGUGUAUAUAGUUAUAAAACCUACAUUUUUGUCUAUUUGAAGGAUAACAGACACCUUUUAUCACAACAAUAUAUAUCAGGAUAUUGAAAUGGCAGCAGACUUAGUUCUAUAUUUUUAAGAGUUUUAAUUCCUCAGGCAGUUGAAAUGAGGAACUAAUUUAUCUGGUUGUUUUUUUAAGUAAUGUCUAAAUUAAGACAGUUAAGACAACAAACUUACAACUCAUGGUUUUUGAACAGGCUGAAGAUGUAAUGUUGUCAGAGUAAUACCAUGCACAAUCAACCAGGUCACAGUUUAACCAGUCAAUUCCCUGUUAGUUGCCCCUCAGGACAAUAGCAUACCAUUCACUUACCACUCUUUACAUUGUACACACAAGAUCAAUAUCAAUUUUCUAGUAAGUUAGAGAUACAGAAUGUAUAUAUCUAUUUUAUUCUAUAUCUUACAUGACUGAAGAUGGUGGGAGAGCUACAGAAUCUACUGAGCCUCACUAUUUCACAGUGUCACUUUCUUCCUGAAACUCUGCAGGGUGACCCUGCUGUCUCACAUGCUUCAAUAAGCCGUGCAGUGUGCUAACCCUUAGUCAUACCAGAACCUGAUCAUUGUGUUCCAUUCCCAGCUUCCACGAAUGCUGUUCAUACUGGCAUUAAACCAAAUUAACAUGCUCACCCUACUACUUUACACGAAGGCUAUGUGAUAUUUAAUUUGAAAGAAAAGAACCAAAAAUAUACCUCAGCUUGCUGAAUUUGAAAAAAAGAGAUUGUGAGCUCAAUGAUAACUAUUAUGAUAAUGAUGUGAUAAUGACUACAAGACCUUCCUAGGUGCAGCAUAGUGGGAAGGUGCAGUAGGAAGGUGCAGCAUAGUGGAUGGGAAGGUGCAGUAGGAAGGUGCAGCAUAGUGGGAAGAUGCAGCAUAGUGGGAAGAUGCAGCAUAGUGGAUGGGAAGAUGCAGUAGGAAGGUGCAGCAUAGUGGGAAGAUGCAGCAUAGUGGGAAGAUGCAGCAUAGUGGGAAGAUGCAGCAAAGUGGGAAGGUGCAGCAUAGUGCGUGGGAAGGUGCAGUAGGAAGGUGCAGCAUAGUGGGAAGAUGCAGCAUAGUGGGAAGAUGCAGCAUAGUGGGAAGAUGCAGCAAAGUGGGAAGGUGCAGCAAAGUGGGUGGGAAGGUGCAGCAUAGUGCGUGGGAAGGUGCAGCAUAGUGGGUGGGAAGGUGCAGCAUAGUGGGAAGAUGCAGCAUAGUGGGUGGGAAGGUGCAGCAUAGUGGGUGGGAAGGUGCAGCAUAGUGGGAAGAUGCAGCAUAGUGGGUGGGAAGGUGCAGCAUAGUGGGUGGGAAGGUGCAGCAUAGUGGGUGGGAAGGUGCAGCAUAGUGGGAAGAUGCAGCAUAGUGCGUGGGAAGGUGCAGCAUAGUGGGUGGGAAGGUGCAGCAUAGUGGGAAGAUGCAGCAUAGUGGGAAGGUGCAGCAUCAUGGGUGGGAAGGUGCAGCAUAGUGGGAAGAUGCAGCAUAGUGGGUGGGAAGGUGCAGCAUAGUGGGUGGGAAGGUGCAGCAUAGUGGGAAGAUGCAGCAUAGUGGGUGGGAAGGUGCAGCAUAGUGCAUUGGAAGGUGCAGCAUAGUGGUUGGGAAGGUGCAGCAUAGUGGGAAGAUGCAGCAUAGUGGGUGGGAAGGUGCAGCAUAGUGCGUGGGAAGGUGCAGCAUAGUGGGUGGGAAGGUGCAGCAUAGUGGGAAGAUGCAGCAUAGUGGGAAGAUGCAGCAUAGUGGGAAGAUGCAGCUUAGUGGGUGGGAAGGUGCAGCAUAGUGGGAAGAUGCAGCAUAGUGGGUGGGAAGAUGCAGCAUAGUGAAUUGGAAGAUGCAGCAUAGUGGGUGGGAAGAUACAGCAUAGU